AGGAGAGCACGUAUUGACGCAGCUGAGUCCUCUGUUCUGAUUGGCUGCGAUACACACGCGCCUUUCUGACGCCAUAGAAAUAAAUAUUUUAGGAAGCAACGCCCCGUCAGCGGUCACGUAGAUACGAACGUGUCGCAUAGCAACGACUUUCAGGAAGCGUGCGUCUCGGGGCACGCGGUCGACGUCGCUCGUACGUCAGGAGCGCGCGGCGCCGUCUCCACACCUCUUUGAUGAUGAUCUUGCCGUUCUGGUGGAUGGUGCUGUUGUUGACCAUGCCCACUAUGGCCACGCCCAGGUUACAUCGGAUGCCGAAGGAGAUGCAGAAGCCCAGUCCGCUCAUGAUGGCGAUGAUGUAGCGGCGAGGCAGACCGAAGCACCUGCAGUCGCACAGCGGCGGCUUCUUCUCCGCGGCCUCCCGGGGCCGCCCGUCCUCUGUCAGCUCGAUCACAUCUCCAGUCUUCUGCUUCCUCUCUAUCACCCUGCAACAGCCAGCAUCAAGACCAAUCAGUUCCAGUCCUACAGAUGUUUUCACCCAGAUGUUACCUGCGCAACACACAACUGCACAGGAUGGUGAGUCGACUGAGAUCUUCCUGCUCCACCAACCGUUUCGGUUAAACUGAUGGUGAGCACCUUCAGUGCUCUCAA
This is a long non-coding RNA of Betta splendens (Siamese fighting fish), 645 nucleotides long. RefSeq lists it as uncharacterized. The transcript has 3 exons. NCBI's taxonomy places the organism in Eukaryota, Metazoa, Chordata, Actinopteri, Anabantiformes, Osphronemidae. The record is from RefSeq and is a predicted model, not a curated record.